CGCUACCUCGCCCUUAUGGUGACAUUGAGACUUUGGCUGAUGCUAUGUCAAUGCCAGUCCAGUGGCCAUACAAAAGAUUAAAGCUUACAACGGCAUCACAUUCAUCCCAGUCUACUGUAGGUUGUCCUGCUCCUGCAAGGUCCUAGGCAACGUACCUGCUGGUGUCCACAAGUUAAAAGUGCUC
Molecule: long non-coding RNA, 184 nt
Organism: Sorghum bicolor (sorghum)
Lineage: Eukaryota; Viridiplantae; Streptophyta; Magnoliopsida; Poales; Poaceae
Exons: 3
Source: RefSeq, a predicted model, not a curated record